GGGCGUGUGGCGCAGUUGGUAGCGCGUCAGUUUUGCAUACUGAAGGUCUCUGGUUCGAUCCCUGACACGUCCA
This 73-nucleotide transfer RNA is filed under the name Blastobotrys adeninivorans. Its description in RNAcentral is "tRNA Ala (TGC) score". It matches the Rfam family "tRNA". Rfam says of the family: Transfer RNA (tRNA) molecules are approximately 80 nucleotides in length. Their secondary structure includes four short double-helical elements and three loops (D, anti-codon, and T loops). The record is from RNAcentral. Lineage: Eukaryota; Fungi; Ascomycota; Dipodascomycetes; Dipodascales; Trichomonascaceae.